RNAcentral lists this ribosomal RNA (359 nucleotides) under Eukaryota sp. RNAcentral describes it as "SSU rRNA". It matches the Rfam family "Eukaryotic small subunit ribosomal RNA", at positions 1324 to 1699 of the family's 1831-position model. The record is from RNAcentral.
CGCGAUAACGAACGAGACCUCGACCUGCUAAAUAGUUUGGCGAAUUCUUCGGGAUUCGUUUACGACUUCUUAGAGGGACUAUCGGUGAUUUAGCCGAUGGAAGUUCGAGGCAAUAACAGGUCUGUGAUGCCCUUAGAUGUCCUGGGCCGCACGCGCGCUACACUGAUACGUUCAUCGAGUUUACAACCUUGGCUGAGAGGCCUGGGUAAUCUUUUUAAACCGUAUCGUGCUGGGGAUAGAUUAUUGUAAUUUUUAAUCUUCAACGAGGAAUUCCUAGUAAACGCUGGUCAUCAACCAGCAUUGAUUACGUCCCUGCCCUUUGUACACACCGCCCGUCGCUAGUACCGAUUGAAUGGUUA